Non-coding RNA from Drosophila virilis, 395 nucleotides. The record is from RefSeq and is a predicted model, not a curated record. NCBI's taxonomy places the organism in Eukaryota, Metazoa, Arthropoda, Insecta, Diptera, Drosophilidae.
CACACAUUUGUCAAAAAUGUGACAUUUCAUGAAAUGUGUUCAGUGGACAGAGGCUAUAAGUCUAGGCAUCACAAAUAGUUUGCUCUACCUAGUUGAUUUAGAAUAUCAUAAAUUCUAGAGUCCGGAAGAAACUUCUUCGGGACUAGUAAGAGUGGGCUAUUAUAUUCUGAGACUGACGGUUCGACUAUUUUAUCGUCUAUUAAUUUUUGUACUUGGGCUUUAAUUUCUUGUACUUGGCUAUGAGGUCUCCUAUAAUUUUUUAUAUAUUCGGGCGCAUCAUCCUUCAGUCUAAGCUUUUGUUUGUAAAAAUUAUUUGUUGUUAUUGAAAUCUAUGCCUAUUAUCCCAUCACUAGGUAUUGGGAAAUUUUGAUCGACUAAAUGAAAGUUAUGCGGAA